AGCAGUAGCCGCGGUAAUACAGAGGGUGCAAGCGUUAAUCGGAAUUACUGGGCGUAAAGCGCGCGUAGGUGGUUUGUUAAGUUGGAUGUGAAAGCCCCGGGCUCAACCUGGGAACUGCAUCCAAAACUGGCAAGCUAGAGUACGGUAGAGGGUGGUGGAAUUUCCUGUGUAGCGGUGAAAUGCGUAGAUAUAGGAAGGAACACCAGUGGCGAAGGCGACCACCUGGACUGAUACUGACACUGAGGUGCGAAAGCGUGGGGAGCAAACAGGAUUAGAACCCCGGUAGUCCCUGUCUCUUAUACA
RNAcentral lists this ribosomal RNA (303 nucleotides) under uncultured bacterium. RNAcentral's name for it is "partial 16S ribosomal RNA". It matches the Rfam family "Bacterial small subunit ribosomal RNA", at positions 507 to 808 of the family's 1533-position model. The record is from RNAcentral.